Molecule: long non-coding RNA, 644 nt
Organism: Populus euphratica (Euphrates poplar)
Lineage: Eukaryota; Viridiplantae; Streptophyta; Magnoliopsida; Malpighiales; Salicaceae
Exons: 2
Source: RefSeq, a predicted model, not a curated record
AACCGGUGAUGUAACAUAAGACAACUAUACAAUAUAAUCAUAGAUGGUAACUUGUAUCCUAAAAUAAUCCAUCCAUAUAUUGGGAGUUUGUGCUAAGAUAUCUGAGCUAAUAUUAAACACUUCCUUGCCUUGGUUCUUGCGAGGAAGAAGCUAUUUGUUCUCUAGGUUUUACUGAACCGACUUCAAAUGCAACAGAGCUAUCGUGAAAUUAAGGCAAUCCAUAGCUUGCUAACAUCUAGGCUGAGCAGAACGCCUGAAAUCAACCUCAAAGAACGGCCAAGUAGAUCCUAAAGAGAACGACUUUCAUUUACUGCGAUCACCUGCAGAAUAACUAAUCACAUCAAAAGAAGAUUCUUCUGGGGCAAGAAAUUACAAUUUUUUUGCCCACAGCAAUUGUUGAUCUGCCACCCAGCCGCCCUACACAUGCCAAUCCCCAUCGUUCUUUUGCUCAAAUCAUCGUUGUGGCGAGGAAUGUUGCCAGUAGGUGUAAAUCAAUACCAAUCACAUAUAUAAAUUAUUAUCGGUAAAUGCGUUUAUGUAAUAUAAAACCACAAGCAUUUCUGAUUCCAAACAUGAUUCAAAGUAAAGACACUUGCAAACUAAAUUUGUCUUUUGAUCAAGGCACCCUUAGGACACGGGGAAGG